Molecule: long non-coding RNA, 584 nt
Organism: Ictalurus punctatus (channel catfish)
Lineage: Eukaryota; Metazoa; Chordata; Actinopteri; Siluriformes; Ictaluridae
Source: Ensembl
GUCUGCAGGAGCUAGAGCGCUCGCCCGUUACAUCUGAAACGGAUUUCAGAAAUUACUGUAUGAAUAAACACCUACACAGACAUCGUGCAUCAUGGCCGACGCUUCCUUAAGGAACUUUAAUAGCUCAGAUGUUUCCAUGACCUUCUACAUGAAUAUUCCCAAAGUACACCAUUAAACAAAAUAAAACACAUUAAAACACUACAAAGUAUAAAUAGUACAUGUAGUAAACAAUUCUAAAUGUUAAUAAAAUAAAUUACGAGACCUUUACCAAGCCAUAUCAUAUCAAAUCUGUAUACCCGGUGUAACCUUCAACAGAGUGCUUCCCUGUCAGAACCCUUAAAGAACCCUUGAUUAUCCAAUGAACCCUUAAAAAACACUUAAAAAACCCUUUUUAAUUCAAUGGAUAAUUUUUAGUUCACUGGAUAAUUAAGGGUUCUUUAAGGGUUUGGUGAAUAAUUAAGGGUUCACUGGAUAAUUAAGGGUUCUUAAGGGUUCACUGGAUAAUUAAGGGUUCUUUAAGGGUUCACUGGAUAAUUAAGGGCUCUUUAAGGGUUCACUGGAUAAUUAAGGGCUCUUUAAGGGUU